This 253-nucleotide ribosomal RNA is filed under the name uncultured bacterium. RNAcentral describes it as "partial 16S ribosomal RNA". It matches the Rfam family "Bacterial small subunit ribosomal RNA", at positions 524 to 776 of the family's 1533-position model. The record is from RNAcentral.
UACGUAGGGUGCGAGCGUUAAUCGGAAUUACUGGGCGUAAAGGGCGCGUAGGCGGUCCCGUAAGUUCCGCGUGAAAUCCCCCGGCUCAACCGGGGAAUGGCGCGGAAAACUGCGGGGCUUGAGUUCGGGAGAGGGAAGCGGAAUUCCGGGUGUAGCGGUGAAAUGCGUAGAUAUCCGGAGGAACACCGGUGGCGAAGGCGGCUUCCUGGACCGACACUGACGCUGAGGCGCGAAAGCUAGGGGAGCAAACGGG